CACGAAUGAUUUUACUAUGGAAGGUAGAGGGUGGGUAAUGAUUCCUUAAAACGAGCAUCAUGCGCCUGCUGCCGAGCCCUGAUCGAUGCAGCUCUUACCCUUAUUUGGCCGAAGUUUAUCGGCCGUAUUUCUACCGCUGCUUCUCCUGCAAUGCUGCUGAAGUUACGCCGCAAAUAAAGAAUCGAGGGUAAAGGUAUACGACUGCUCGUGCCUGCCUUCUUCAUCGGAACACCUUUGUCUCUCAUGAUUAAAAACACCACAGCUGGGAAGACGACGCGGUCGUAAGGCGAGCCUGCUGCCGGGAUGGACAAACCCUUUUUUAAUCGCCGAGCGUAUAAGAUGCAAUUAAACCAGCUCCAGGCCGUAUUAUAAAGGAUAAUUGGAAAGUCACAAAGCGACAUGAGGCACUUAAUGGCCGCUGAAACCCGUCAAAACAAGUGGACUUGGGCUGAUCCAUCCAGACAGUCUUCCUUAAGAGAUCAACCAAGUCCAGACAACGUUGAGAGGUUAUAUGAAAAGUUAGAUCGAAACUUUUCACGUGACAAUUGCUUUACAUCCGUAAGGAGCGGCUAAAAGCAUCAUCGGAAACACUCGAAUCGUAUGAUACAGACAGAAUUCAAACCGUCCCACACGGAAGAAAAUCUGAAUACCAGAGUGCAACGUUAU
This is a long non-coding RNA of Neodiprion virginianus, 666 nucleotides long. RefSeq lists it as uncharacterized. NCBI's taxonomy places the organism in Eukaryota, Metazoa, Arthropoda, Insecta, Hymenoptera, Diprionidae. The record is from RefSeq and is a predicted model, not a curated record. The transcript has 4 exons.